CCGGGGGUAGAGCACUGUUUCGGCUAGGGGGCCAUCCCGGCUUACCAACCCGAUGCAAACUGCGAAUACCGGAGAAUGUUAUCACGGGAGACACACGGCGGGUGCUAACGUCCGUCGUGAAGAGGGAAACAACCCAGACCGCCAGCUAAGGUCCCAAAGUCAUGGUUAAGUGGGAAACGAUGUGGGAAGGCCCAGACAGCCAGGAUGUUGGCUUAGAAGCAGCCAUCAUUUAAAGAAAGCGUAAUAGCUCACUGGUCGAGUCGGCCUGCGCGGAAGAUGUAACGGGGCUAAACCAUGCACCGAAGCUGCGGCAGCGACACUCAGGUGUUGUUGGGUAGGGGAGCGUUCUGUAAGCCUGCGAAGGUGGCCUGUGAGGGUUGCUGGAGGUAUCAGAAGUGCGAAUGCUGACAUAAGUAACGAUAAAGCGGGUGAAAAGCCCGCUCGCCGGAAGACCAAGGGUUCCUGUCCAACGUUAAUCGGGGCAGGGUGAGUCGACCCCUAAGGCGAGGCCGAAAGGCGUAGUCGAUGGGAAACGGGUUAAUAUUCCCGUACUUGGUGUUACUGCGAAGGGGGGACGGAGAAGGCUAUGUUGGCCGGGCGACGGUUGUCCCGGUUUAAGCGUGUAGGUGUGUGUUCCAGGUAAAUCCGGUU
Molecule: ribosomal RNA, 651 nt
Filed under: Salmonella enterica subsp. enterica serovar Agona
Lineage: Bacteria; Pseudomonadati; Pseudomonadota; Gammaproteobacteria; Enterobacterales; Enterobacteriaceae
Description: partial 23S ribosomal RNA
Rfam family: Bacterial large subunit ribosomal RNA
Source: RNAcentral